UAACUGACCUGUCCUAAACUACACAACCUGUCUGUCUGUAACUGACCUGUCCUAGACUACACACCCUGUCUGUCUGUAACCCUUUCUACUCAGGCACAGGGAGGGGCAGCUCAGAACCUGAGGGGGGGUUGUUUAAGUGUGUAAAGUGUAACAGUGGUCAUUCUGUGUUAGUGGCUGAAAAUGUAGUUUCGCCAGGUCUUCCUCUUCUGACGCUAUGAGGUUACUAACCUUCACAGACAACAGUCUGGUUACUAACCUUCACAGACAACAGUCUGGCGCUGUGAGGUUACUAGACUUCACAGACAACAGUCUGGUUACUAGCCUUCACAGACAACAGUCUGGUGCUAUGAUGUUACUAACCUUCACAGACAGCAGUCUGGCGCUGUGAGGUUACUAGACUUCACAGACAACAGUCUGGUUACUARCCUUCACAGACAACAGUCUGGUGCUGUGAGGUUACUAGCCUUCACAGACAACAGUCUGGGUCUGUGAGGUUACUAGCCUUCACAGACAACAGUCUGGUGCUGUGAGGUUACUAGCCUUCACAGACAACAGUCUGGUGCUGUGAGGUUACUAGCCUUCACAGGCAACAGUCUGGGUCUGUGAGGUUACUAGCCUUCACAGACAACAGUCUGGCGCUGUGAGGUUACUAKCCUUCACAGACAACAGUCUGGCGCUGUGUGGUUACUAGCCUUCACAGACAACAUUAUGACACUCCUUCCUGUUCUGAAAGCGUCCCAUGUUUAGAUUUUUUUGUAUUAUUCUCACUCUAGUCUUUAUUUACACGUUUAAUAUUUCUUGGGAGCUGCUUGUGUCUGGAUGAUGAGCUAACCUGGUUGACAUUAUCAUAAUGUAAUAUAAUUUAUAUCAUUUGUAUUAUUGUAACAUAUAUUGUGGUCUUUAUUCUGUCGUUCCUUCCUGGGGUUUUAUAGGAUCAGUGUGGGGGGGUGUAUUAACACCAGCUUCACCUGGAGCUGCUAUGGGCCAAUAAAAUGGAUCUCUUUCAGCGCUGACA
Non-coding RNA from Salvelinus sp. IW2-2015, 1015 nucleotides. Lineage: Eukaryota; Metazoa; Chordata; Actinopteri; Salmoniformes; Salmonidae. The record is from RefSeq and is a predicted model, not a curated record.